RNAcentral lists this ribosomal RNA (497 nucleotides) under uncultured bacterium. Its description in RNAcentral is "partial 16S ribosomal RNA". It matches the Rfam family "Bacterial small subunit ribosomal RNA", at positions 28 to 507 of the family's 1533-position model. The record is from RNAcentral.
GAUGAACGCUGGCGGCGUGCCUAAUACAUGCAAGUCGAGCGAACAGACGAGGAGCUUGCUCCUCUGACGUUAGCGGCGGACGGGUGAGUAACACGUGGAUAACCUACCUAUAAGACUGGGAUAACUUCGGGAAACCGGAGCUAAUACCGGAUAAUAUAUUCAACCGCAUGGUUCAAUAGUGAAAGACGGUUUUGCUGUCACUUAUAGAUGGAUCCGCGCCGCAUUAGCUAGUUGGUAAGGUAACGGCUUACCAAGGCAACGAUGCGUAGCCGACCUGAGAGGGUGAUCGGCCACACUGGAACUGAGACACGGUCCAGACUCCUACGGGAGGCAGCAGUAGGGAAGCUUCCGAAAUGGGCGAAAGCCUCACGGAGCAACGCAGCGUGAGUGAUGAAGGUCUUCGGAUCGUAAAACUCUGUUAUUAGGGAAGAACAAAUGUGUAAGUAACUAUGCACGUCUUGACGGUACCUAAUCAGAAAGCAACGGCUAACUACGUG